This 414-nucleotide ribosomal RNA is filed under the name Clostridioides difficile. Its description in RNAcentral is "partial 23S ribosomal RNA". It matches the Rfam family "Bacterial large subunit ribosomal RNA", at positions 2509 to 2925 of the family's 2925-position model. The record is from RNAcentral. Lineage: Bacteria; Bacillati; Bacillota; Clostridia; Peptostreptococcales; Peptostreptococcaceae.
CGGGGAGGUUUGGCACCUCGAUGUCGGCUCAUCACAUCCUGGGGCUGUAGUAGGUCCCAAGGGUUGGGCUGUUCGCCCAUUAAAGUGGUACGCGAGCUGGGUUCAGAACGUCGUGAGACAGUUCGGUCCCUAUCCGUCGCAGGCGUAGGAAAUUUGAGAAGACCUGUCCUUAGUACGAGAGGACCGGGAUGGACGUACCUCUGGUGUACCAGUUGUUCUGCCAAGGGCAUGGCUGGGUAGCUAUGUACGGAAUGGAUAAGCGCUGAAAGCAUCUAAGCGCGAAGCCAACUUCAAGAUAAGAUUUCCCACCGCAAGGGUAAGACCCCAGAAAGACUAUCUGGUUGAUAGGUCGAAGGUGUAAGUGCAGCAAUGUAUUUAGCUUAUCGAUACUAAUAGGUCGAGGACUUGACCAAU